AUACGUAGGUGGCAAGCGUUGUCCGGAAUUAUUGGGCGUAAAGGGUGCGUAGGCGGUCUUUUAAGUGGGAUGUGAAAUCCCUGGGCUUAACUCAGGAUGUGCAUUCCAAACUGGAAGACUAGAGUGCAGGAGAGGAAAGUGGAAUUCCCAGUGUAGCGGUGAAAUGCGUAGAGAUUGGGAGGAACACCAGUGGCGAAGGCGACUUUCUGGACUGUAACUGACGCUGAGGCACGAAAGCGUGGGGAGCAAACAGGAUUAGAUACCCUGGUAGUCCACGCUGUAAACUAUGAGUACUAGGUGUAGGGGGCGAAGCCCUCUGUGCCGCAGUUAACACAAUAAGUACUCCGCCUGGGAAGUACGAUCGCAAGAUUAAA
RNAcentral lists this ribosomal RNA (374 nucleotides) under uncultured bacterium. RNAcentral describes it as "bacterial SSU rRNA". It matches the Rfam family "Bacterial small subunit ribosomal RNA", at positions 523 to 898 of the family's 1533-position model. The record is from RNAcentral.